UACAGGGGGGGGCAAGCGUUGUUCGGAAUUACUGGGCGUAAAGGGCUCGUAGGCGGCCAACUAAGUCACACGUGAAAUCCCCAGGCUUAACCUGGGAACUGCGUGUGAUACUGGAUGGCUUGAAUCCGGGAGAGGGAUGCGGAAUUCCAGGUGUAGCGGUGAAAUGCGUAGAUAUCUGGAGGAACACCGGUGGCGAAGGCGGCAUCCUGGACCGGUAUUGACGCUGAUGAGCGAAAGCCAGGGGAGCAAACGGG
Molecule: ribosomal RNA, 254 nt
Filed under: uncultured bacterium
Lineage: Bacteria
Description: partial 16S ribosomal RNA
Rfam family: Bacterial small subunit ribosomal RNA
Source: RNAcentral